This is a non-coding RNA of Vicia faba (fava bean), 182 nucleotides long. The record is from the annotation of a GenBank genome assembly. Lineage: Eukaryota; Viridiplantae; Streptophyta; Magnoliopsida; Fabales; Fabaceae.
AUGUUCCAUUCAGUAUAUUACACAUAUCCGAGUUUCUCCACCAUUUAUAUCACCAUCAUUUUUUCUUUUUUCGGUUCCUUCUUCAAUCUCUCCAUCGUUUAUAUAACCAUUGUUUCUUCUUCAGGUUGCUAUUGCGGAACACAUCUCGUAGGUAUCUAUCACCAUCUGUCUGUAAAGAGAAG